This 516-nucleotide long non-coding RNA is filed under the name Mytilus galloprovincialis (Mediterranean mussel). Lineage: Eukaryota; Metazoa; Mollusca; Bivalvia; Mytilida; Mytilidae. The record is from RNAcentral.
GUGCCGCUUAACUACUGACAUUUUUUUUUCACAGAAUAUUUAUAACUUGCAGUUUCGGUUAUAGAAACAGACCGAUAAGAGAACUUUUUUUAUUCCUUCCUGUCCAGAUGUUACAAAAUAAGCAUUUGUUCGUUGUGUAAACCUGAACAGCAUGUUGGAGCAAUUUUGAAGCUGCUUUCUUUUGAAUCCAUGAACAUAUAUUAAACAAGACGUAAAAAGAUAUUAUCAUCACGAGUAAAUUUUUUAAAAAAUCCAAGAACCACUUCUUUUUGCUUUUACUUUAUUCCUUACCAAAAUGUUACAAAUAUUUGACCUCUAAAAUAAGUUGUUAUCGAAUAUAAUAAGGAGACCGGGAAAGGUUUACUUAACCAAGAAAUGUUUAGUUCACUUAGAGUUUUUACUUCCACUCAAACAUGUCUCACAGGGUAUACAUGUAUCAAGUUAAUUCCUUCUAAAGUUCCAACGAUUUUUUAUACGUUUUUACAAAUAACACAUGUCAUCCUUUUAAAUUCUAAU